AAAGCGUGCGCAGGCGGUUUUGUAAGUCUGAUGUGAAAUCCCCGGGCUCAACCUGGGAAUUGCAUUGGAGACUGCAAGGCUAGAAUCUGGCAGGAGGGGGUAGAAUUCCACGUGUAGCAGUGAAAUGCGUAGAUAUGUGGAGGAACACCGAUGGCGAAGGCAGCCCCCUGGGUCAAGAUUGACGCUCAUGCACGAAAGCGUGGGGAGCAAACAGGAUUAGAUACCCCAGU
RNAcentral lists this ribosomal RNA (230 nucleotides) under uncultured bacterium. Its description in RNAcentral is "partial 16S ribosomal RNA". It matches the Rfam family "Bacterial small subunit ribosomal RNA", at positions 562 to 791 of the family's 1533-position model. The record is from RNAcentral.